Molecule: long non-coding RNA, 398 nt
Organism: Bufo bufo (common toad)
Lineage: Eukaryota; Metazoa; Chordata; Amphibia; Anura; Bufonidae
Exons: 3
Source: RefSeq, a predicted model, not a curated record
GUCCCAUGAUUGACCCUUUUCCUCUCACAGAGACAGCGCUGCAGUACAUUUCAUAUUCUGACCAUGUCUUUUGUCCACAGGAUGACAGUAAACUGUACCAGCGUGUCGGACAUGCCCGGGAAGGAACAACAAGUUUCCUGCCAGCCGUGGAGUAAAGGGGAUCCGAUUAGACUCCAAGGAUGACAGUAAACUGUACCAGCGUGUCGGACAUGCCCGGGAAGGAACAACAAGUUUCCUGCCAGCCGUGGAGUCAAGGGGAUCCGAUUAGACUCCAAGGCUGACAGUCGAGGAACCACAUUGACGGACUUGCCCUGGACCUACCAUAUCAUCCUUUUAAUUUGAAAUUUAUUUUAAUAAAAAUAAUGCCAAUAUGUUUUUUUAUGAGAAAUUGAUAUUUU